CCCUUAGAUGUUCUGGGCCGCACGCGUGCUACACUGAUGCAUUCAACGAGUCUAAAACCUGGUCUGAUAGGGCUGGGUAAUCUUUUGAAAGUGCAUCGUGAUUGGGAUAGAUGAUUGCAAUUCUUCAUCUUCAACGAGGAAUGCCUAGUAAACGCAAGUCAUCAGCUUGCAUUGAUUACGUCCCUGCCCUUUGUACACACCGCCCGUCGCUCCUACCGAUUGAAUGAUCCGAUGAAUACCAUGGAUUGAGAGUACGAAUAGGUUCGCUUAUUUCUGCUGCUCGAGAAGUGGAGUAAAUCUUAUCAUUUAGGGGAAGGAGAAGUCGUAACA
RNAcentral lists this ribosomal RNA (330 nucleotides) under uncultured eukaryote. Its description in RNAcentral is "partial 18S ribosomal RNA". It matches the Rfam family "Eukaryotic small subunit ribosomal RNA", at positions 1470 to 1796 of the family's 1831-position model. The record is from RNAcentral.